UUGAUCCCUGGUUCAGAACGAACGCUGGCGGGCGUGCUUAACACAUGCAAGUCGAACGCGAAAGGGACUUCGGUCCCGAGUAGAGUGGCGCACGGGUGAGUAACGCGUAAGUAAUCUACCCCUGUAUCUGGAAUAACCCACCGAAAGGUGAGCUAAUACCGGAUACGUUUAUCUUGAUGCGAAUGAUGAUAAAGAAAGGUGGCCUCUUCAUGAAAGCUACCGUACAGGGACGAGCUUGCGUACCAUUAGCUGGUUGGUAGGGUAAUGGCCUACCAAGGCGACGAUGGUUAGCGGGUCUGAGAGGAUGAUCCGCCACACUGGAACUGAAACACGGACCAGACUCCUACGGGAGGCAGCAGUGAGGAAUAUUGCGCAAUGGGGGCAACCCUGACGCAGCGACGCCGCGUGGACGAUGAAGGCCCUUGGGUCGUAAAAUCCUGUCAGAUGGAAAGAAAUGUACAGGUGUUAAUAUCGCCUGUAUUUGACGGUACCAUCCAAGGAAAGCACCGCUAACUCCGUGCCAGCA
This 526-nucleotide ribosomal RNA is filed under the name uncultured Desulfobulbaceae bacterium. Its description in RNAcentral is "bacterial SSU rRNA". It matches the Rfam family "Bacterial small subunit ribosomal RNA", at positions 13 to 513 of the family's 1533-position model. Lineage: Bacteria; Pseudomonadati; Thermodesulfobacteriota; Desulfobulbia; Desulfobulbales; Desulfobulbaceae. The record is from RNAcentral.